Molecule: unclassified non-coding RNA, 1028 nt
Filed under: Hevea brasiliensis (rubber tree)
Lineage: Eukaryota; Viridiplantae; Streptophyta; Magnoliopsida; Malpighiales; Euphorbiaceae
Source: RNAcentral
UGGCACUGUAGUUUAUCGUGGACGCCAUGAUGACCCGGAUUCUCCUCGAACGCCAAAAUCUAGGUUAGGAAUUCAAGAGAGAUCUUCAAGUGCAUCACUUGAAGACAGCUCAGCAAAUCUUGCAGAGGCCAAGGCAGCCAUGCUAGCAGGACUGAAGAAGGAAAAUGUUAGAGACAGAUCAAAAUUGGGCAAGGUGCAACGUGAUGGGCUAGAAAAUAAAACAGAACAACCGACAAUGAGCUCUGAUUCUUCUAGGCACUCGCGUGAUUAUCUUGAUGCACAGAAGGUGUUUUCGAGAUCACGCCAUACAAGUGAUGAAGAAGAUGGUGCGAGAACAUAUCCUAUACCUUCAUCUGCCACCUUAUCUGUUCUCCUUAUUCCUUCAUUAAAAGAGGCUGCUACCAGUGAAACAGAUGGUUCACUCAUGCAGGCGAUGGUCAGUUCCUUUAUGGAUAUGGAGCGUAUGAAGGCUGGUUCUUGCGAUCUGUUCAUGACUAGGUUGCUUCAGCGACUAGCAAGUGCAAAGGAUCCGUCUUUGAAAGAUCUGCAAGACCUGGCUGGUCGCAUCUUUUCAAAGGGAAAGAUUGAAACAGAGAGUACAACUACCGAGUCUGAUAGCAAAAAAAAGCAGCAGAGUAAAGAGCUUAAUUCAAAUGCCAAUUUGAGUCCACUGGCAAGGUUCUUGCUUUCAAGAUGGCAAGGGCAUGCUUCUCGAGAUCAAAAUUCCUAAACAUUGAGCUUGGCCGAAUUUGGGGCACACACUUGGGAUGAGAACGACUCACAACCCACAUGUAUCAUUUGAUGAUGAAAUUGCUCGGGGCAAACUCCAAACUCCAAAGCACCCACCAGCUGACGAUAGUAAUUAUUUUUCUAAUGAAGUGGUGAAAUUAGCUUGCGGUAAAAAUUAGCCAUACCCUCAUUUCUGAUAAAGAUAUUGUCAAUGUGGAUAGGGUAGCGUGUAAAAGGAUUGAUGUAUGUGUAUGAUUAUAGAAAUAUUUUUCGCUAAGUGUAAAAAGGUUACAAAGUUA